GACGAACGCUGGCGGCGUGCUUAACACAUGCAAGUCGAACGGAAAGGCCCUGCUUUUGUGGGGUGCUCGAGUGGCGAACGGGUGAGUAACACGUGAGUAACCUGCCCUUGACUUUGGGAUAACUUCAGGAAACUGGGGCUAAUACCGGAUAGGAGCUCCUGCUGCAUGGUGGGGGUUGGAAAGUUUCGGCGGUUGGGGAUGGACUCGCGGCUUAUCAGCUUGUUGGUGGGGUAGUGGCUUACCAAUGCUUUGACGGGUAGCCGGCCUGAGAGGGUGACCGGCCGCAUUGGGGGUGAGAUACGGCCCAGACUCCUAGGGGAGCCAGCAGUGGAGAAUAUUGCACAUCGGGCGGAAGCCGGAUGCAGCAACGCCGCGGGCGGGAUUACGGCCCUCGGAUUUAAUCACUCUUUCGCCAGUGACGCCGCGUGAGUGACGGUAAUUGGUAAAGAAGCGCCGGCUAGCUACGUG
This 468-nucleotide ribosomal RNA is filed under the name uncultured bacterium. RNAcentral's name for it is "partial 16S ribosomal RNA". It matches the Rfam family "Bacterial small subunit ribosomal RNA", at positions 28 to 507 of the family's 1533-position model. The record is from RNAcentral.